GCAAAAGUCUAGAAGGUCGUCUCUAUUCCUCCACAUAAUUAUGCCGUAUGCAGCCGACAUAAUUCAUCUAGCAGAAACAGACACUCCUUCGAUCACUCCCUCCACUUUAGAAGGAGUUAAACAACUCAAUUGCUGACUUUCGCAAUAAGUCACGCCUCUCGCGUCUUGCUUUCCUAAGAUCUGCCAAGCCUAAGGUUUUUUAGGUUCCAACAACCUAAUUCUCGGCUCUGAUACCAACUUAAUCUGUCACACCCUAGAUUGCCACGUUUCCCCGGGCAUGCCAACAGACUCGCCAUAUACACAGGGAUUUUUCGUGUAUACGAAGCGAUAG
RNAcentral lists this long non-coding RNA (331 nucleotides) under Ananas comosus (pineapple). Its description in RNAcentral is "long non-coding RNA (ACOM_LNC012387)". Lineage: Eukaryota; Viridiplantae; Streptophyta; Magnoliopsida; Poales; Bromeliaceae. The record is from RNAcentral.